GACCUUGUGGCGCAACGGUAGCGCGUCUGACUCCAGAUAAGAAGGUUGCGUGUUCAAAUCACGUCAGGGUCA
RNAcentral lists this transfer RNA (72 nucleotides) under Danio rerio (zebrafish). RNAcentral describes it as "tRNA-Trp (CCA) (tRNA-Trp-CCA-16-1)". It matches the Rfam family "tRNA". From Rfam's summary of the family: Transfer RNA (tRNA) molecules are approximately 80 nucleotides in length. Lineage: Eukaryota; Metazoa; Chordata; Actinopteri; Cypriniformes; Danionidae. The record is from Rfam by way of RNAcentral.